GCUGCAGCUACUUCCGGACGUACAAGCUGCUAGUUGUGAAGAGUGAAAUUCAUAUUCGAACUGAGAGUCUUUUAUACAGAGAGAUAACUUUGUGGAGAAGAGUUUCCCCCUUUUUGUUAUGUACGAUUUGCUUUUAAAUGUGACAUUUUUUCCCAGCUCAUUGGAAGACGUAUAUUAUUUUCGUCUCUCAGAACACAGAAGCAGCUUCGUGUUCUUUUGCUCUCCUCUGGAGAAUGAAGGUGUCCGGACUGCGGAGCUUGAAAGCUUCAAGCAGCGGCUGUUAGUUGCUGUCGACGAUCAUCUGCUGCCGAGGUUUCACAUGUUCAUCGGCUGUAAACGACAGACGAAACGGAAGAGGAUCCUGCUGCAUAUGGAGACCGAGAGAGCAGGACCGGGAAGCAGGAGAAGCCGGACACAGAAUAAUGGUGGAACCUCAGAUGAAGAAACAAAAGGGAGGGACGACAUGGGAUUCACACACGUUAAAUCAGAACCAGCUGGCGACUUGGAUGCACCUCUCCAUCCUGACCACCAGAUGUCAUUGUCUUCUGAUUCAGACACUGAUGACAGUGAAGACUGGAGAGAAACCAGUGACUAUAAAGCAGAUUCCAACUCUGUUGAGGAGCCACACGUUGAUGUCAGAGAGGAGAUAGAUGCUGAUCACAAAUCACUGAUCUGCUCUGAAAGUGGAGAGAAAUGCCUCACAAAGGCUGGACUGACUGAAGACAGGAAAUCCUGCUGUGGACCCUCCUCUUGUUCGGUUUGUGGGAAACGUUUUGAGAAGAGAUGGAUUCUGAGGAACCACAUGAAAAUUCACACUAGAGAAAAGCCUUUCAUCUGCUCCCACUGUGGAAAAUGUUUUUCACAGAAAUCUCACCUAAACAAUCACAUCAGAAUUCAUACUAGAGAAAAGCCUUUCAUCUGUUCCCAAUGUGCUAAAUGUUUUUCACAGAAAGCAACUCUAAAUUGUCACAUGAGAAUUCACUCUGGAGAAAAGCCUUACACCUGCUCCCAGUGUGGAAAAUGUUUUUCAAUUAAAUCUCACCUGAAAAGUCACAUGAUUAUUCACUCCGGAGAAAAGCCUUUUAUCUGCUACCAGUGUGGAAAAUGUUUUUCACAGAAACCUUACCUGAAUAGACACAUGAGAAUUCACACUGGAGAAAAGCCUUUCAUCUGCUCGCAGUGUGGAAAAUGUUUUUUACAGGAGUCUCACCUGAAUAGUCACAUGAGCAUUCAUUCUGGAGAAAAGCCUUUCAUCUGCUCCCUGUGUGUAAAAUGUUUUUUACGGGAAUCUCACCUGAAUAGUCACAUGAGAAUUCACACUGGAGAAAAGACUUUCAUCUGCUCCGAGUGUGGUAAAUCCUUUUUACGGAAAUCUCACCUGAGUAGUCACAUGAAAAUUCACACUGGAGAAAAGCCUUUCAUCUGCUCUCAGUGUGGAAAAUGUUUUUCACUGAAAUCUAACCUGAAUAAUCACAUGAAAAUUCACUCUGGAGAAAAGCCUUACAUCUGUUCCCAAUGUGGUAAAUGUUUUUCACAGAAAGGAAACCUGAAUAGUCACAUGAGAAUUCACCCUGGAGAGAAGCCUUUCAUCUGCUCGCAGUGUGGAAAAUGUUUUUUACAGGAAUCUCUCCUGAAUAGUCACAUGAGAAUGCACUCUGGAGAAAAGCCUUUCAUCUGCUCGCAGUGUGGUAAAUGUUUUUUACGGAAAUCUCACCUGAAUAGUCACAUGAGAAUUCACACUGGAGAAAAGCCUUUCAUCUGCUCCCAGUGUGGUAAAUGUUUUUUACGGAAAUCUAACCUGGAUAAUCACACGAAAAUUCAUUCUGGAGAAAAGCUUUUCAACUGCUCCCAGUGUGGUACGUGCUUUUCACAGAAAGGAAACCUGAAAAGUCACAUGAGAAUUCACUCUGGAGAAAAGCCUGUCACCUGCUCAUAAUGUGGAAAAUGUUUUUCACUGAAAUCUCACCUGAGAAGUCAGGUGAGAAUUCAAAAUUGAGAUGGUGGGAAAUGUUUUAUACAUCCAGUCUCCAUGAAAAGCCACAUGAGGAUUCACACUGGGGAAUAAUCUCUUAUCUGCUUCUAGGCAAGGAAUGUCUUGUGUACAAGGACUGGCUGACACAACACAUCAAUAUACCACUGAGGAGAGAAUCUUUCAAGUGCUCCCUGUGUUUUGUACCAAAGGAACCUGAAUACACAUGCCACACUCCCAUUUGACAACCUUUUUAUUGUCAGACUCAUUACGGACACAUUGUUUGCACUGAUAACUGUAAAAAUACCAUCUUGAAAUCCUGUGUGUGUUGUAAUCCAGGCCAGAGUAGGUGUAGGAGGCAGACGCUGGUGACGCUGUUCUUGCUCACCAAAGAUUAUUAACAAGCUGCUCCAGGAUGAAAAAAAAAGCCAGGAAAAAAGUGAAAAGAAAAACCAUGGAUUGCAAGGAAACUCAAAAGUUAACUCAGCGUAACUGAAAAGACUGAAACAAUUUCAACAGAGAUUACUCUUACGCACUUGUGCAACCCUCUGCACACUGCAGCCUCCCUUUCUCUGGCCUGCCCGCUUCUCUCUUUUAGCGUUUGAAUCUGGACUGUACCUCUCAACGAGUAAAUCCCAAAUUCCACCAACAACCAUGACUCAUUUCUGCAGUAAGAAACAAAGUCCUCUGCUCACCAUACUUUGAACACAACCUGCCGCAUAACGCUCAACCUUGCUCCAUCACUCCGUCAUAUAUAAUAAAACAAAACAAAACACUUCCCUACCUUGGCCUCCCCCACAGUUGAAACUUUCCACAAUGUCACUGAUGAUCACUGAUGAGCCGCCACGUCCUCCUUUUUACCUGAUGGCCUCGUGAUGAGUAACACAACCAACAACUUAACAAAUAUGAAAUAAUACCUAAAUAACUGACAUUUAAUUGAACCAAUAAACAUCCUUAACAUAACCAUACUCGUUUUUUUUUAUUUUUGAUACACCAGAAGAUGCAACUCAAACAUAACCCGGGAUAGUUUGAACGCAUGAUUCAGGUUAAAGAUGGAAUUAAAUCAACCAAACAAGCAUACAACAAUAACUUGAUAUAAAUGAGACAAAUGGGUGACUCUCAGCCACUUUGUCGCAGAGACCCAUAAAGAUUUCAUCUGACGCAUCACAAAGUGGACCUGGAGCUGUUCUAAUGCAGAGAUACGAUGACUGGCAACCUGUUGCAUCUGCGUCACCAUCUAUGACUGAUGCAGAGACAAGAUAUGCUCAAAUUGAAAAAGAAUUGCUCAGCAUGACCUUCACUUGUGAAAGAUUUCACCUGUUUGUUUCAGGACUCUCAGUGGAAACUGACCACAAACCCUUGAUUGUAUUGUUCCAGAAGCCACUCAAUAAUUGUCCAUUAAGGAUCCAAAGAAGGAUGAUCUGACUGCAACGCGACGCUCUCAACGUGACGUACACACCUGGUAAACUGAUGUAUACAGCUCAUGCAUUAUCCAGAGCUGUUGACCCCAUCUCUUAAACUCAUCACAGAUACAUUCGGGAACAUGUUCAACUGAGCAACCAAUCAGAAAUACAUUCCAUAUCUGCAACAAACAUUCAAUUUCAGACCCACGUCAAACAAUAGCUUCAGGUGAUGUGAAUCUCAAACUUGAGUAAGGACCCACGAAAAUGUUGCUAAUCACAGUUAGCAUCGCAACGGAGCUGCUCAAUUUGCUCCUCCGUGCAGUUUGACUCCAAAGGUUUACUGUCCGGUGCUCUUGCACCUACCUAUGGUGUAUGUGUAAAGAGUAAAUAAUACUCUUCAUAAGUAAUGUAGUAUGUAUGGGGGCAAGAAAGUAACCUCACAAAAUACGCAAAAUGAAAGAAUUUUUUUAAACCGCUAAAUGUGAGUUAACACCAAAUUAUUAAAACAAUAAAUAAAUGUAAAUAAAUGUUUCUCUGUGUUAUCUGGUGGAAACAAGCCAGGAGCAGAUGCUCCGCGGCAGUGUGACAGGAGCAAAAAGGGCCACACAUUUGGUACAUUUUUUCAAGACACUUUUGGGUUUAGGAACUAGCCUUGCCUAACAAUGAUAUAAGUGGAGAUGCUGUGGAUUGAACCCAGGACCUCAUACAUGCUAAGCAUGUGCUCUACCACUGAACUACAUCCCCUAAUUAGCAGCAGUUCGUCUCAGUGAGGACCAAACCCAUGGACACAAGAAAAGCAAGAAUGGGCUCAGAGCUGAUCCCUGAUGGACUCCUACUCUCAUCUUGAAGCCCUCCUUCACUCAUAAAGCACCCCUCACCACUCUCUCGCCGUCCUCACACACGUUCUGCACAACCCUCACACACUUCUCUGAUGCUCCUGACCUUGUUAUGUCAUUGCAUAAUCACAUGUUAUAUUGUCAGUACUUAAGAGUACAAUUCGGGAAAUCUUUUGAUGCUUCUGAAUGCAAACUCACUAACAUUUUCCUGCGACUGGUACAAUGUGCACAGUGGAGAUUCUUAUGAAUCAGACAACAUUAAACAUAUUGAGCAUUUUUAUUAAUAACUCAACUUCAAACUCCAGUUAUAUAAUCUCUCAGUGAACAUUGUCCUAUAUACUUGUACUCAAUAUACUCUCACUGCUCUGCAACAUUAUUAACACAUUCAUAGUAAAACAAAAUAGGAUCGCUUGCUUAGUUUUGGUGUGUGGGAAGAGGUUGGAGAAGAAAAUGAUCACUCAUUUCCCAGCACCAAUGGAAGGUAGGAUAGAUCUUCUCAGGCUGUGUUUGGUCAAUUUAACAUGACAUGCACUUUUGUGCAAAUGCACAACAGCUGCCUCCUUUCCAGUGUUCACAGCCCACAACACUAAAUGUGGACAUGUGUGUGUGAGUGAUGAUGUGUGUCUGGUGCGAGGAACGCCCUCCAUCCAGUCUCUGUUUCAUGUGUCUGUGCUUUGAAUAACUUGAUGCAAACCAUGUGAAGCGGUGCUGAGACGAUGUUAUGCUGAUGCUGAUCUGGAAUAAACCAAAGCUGCAUCCCACUACUUUUAUGGUUCUUUUUGCUCCCGGCUCUACGCCCUGAAAAGUGUAUAACUCGCUGGCCGGACAACAUGUCAACACAAGGGAACCAAGCAGAAGAGGACCACACCUGGUUACAUAACUGGUGUCUACAAAACGCUCAAGUUUUCAGUUGGAAACAAGAGGUGGAACCAAAGAGAAUCCUGCUGGAAAUGGAGACCGAUAGAGCACGUACACCAAAAUAUAUUCAUGAAUUAAUCAUGGAAAGUAGUACCGGAUUGAAGGGUAAGGAAAUGAAAUCAGAUUCAAAUAAAAUGCUGGUAUACAGCUGGGAAUAUGAAGUUUCACCUCUAUGUUCACAGGACAGGGAAGCAGGAGAGGCUGGACACAGAACAAUGUUGGCACCCCAGAUGAAGAAACAAAAGGAGGGAUGACAUUGGAUACACACGCGUUACAUCAGGAAAAAAAGAUAUAGCAGCAGAGAAGGGAGAAAAUACCCUGUGAAUUGCGGUGGCAUUUAGUUGGAUUGGUUGGAAGAAAAACUU
This is an RNA transcript of Synchiropus splendidus (mandarinfish), 5491 nucleotides long. It is a transcript of the gene named gastrula zinc finger protein XlCGF57.1-like, with no coding region annotated. Lineage: Eukaryota; Metazoa; Chordata; Actinopteri; Syngnathiformes; Callionymidae. The record is from RefSeq and is a predicted model, not a curated record. The transcript is spliced from 4 exons.